ACCUCUCAGGAAUGCUGGCAUGAGACAAGGAGAAAUGCCAGAACACUAAUUCUCUGGUGCAAAGCUUCUCAUUCUGACACUUUAGCUAAGAUGUGCCUGGGCACUGGAUCCUGGAGAUGCAAAUGUCAGAGAAAGAUACAUGAGCAGUAGGUUCUGGACGAGGAGGUGACAUUCAGGAUGCCCUUUCCAUCACAUGCCAAAGCAGCUGAACAGCUUCAGUUACAGAACAGGGCCUGGAGUCCAGUAGGACUAGAAGCAAACCACAGCACAGCCAGAAGGGGCAGAAUCAGAGAAAUCCCUGGAUAAAGAUGGUCCUGCACGGACAUAAGACUCUGCACUCUUCAGCAAGGGCUUGAUCUUGAAGAACAGCUUCAUCCAGGGCCAGUGUUUGACAUUCAUGAAUGCACGAAUGUUGUACUGGAUGCAGAAGAUGGACUCUCUGAAAGGAAGAAAUAGCAAAGUCUCUACUGUACCCGGAAAAGAGCUGAGACAGUCUGGAAAGAAGAACCCUUCUUCUUGGCACCUUUCUUGCCUGCACCACUGGCCUCAGCUAAAUUAAAAAUAAAUAAAACAGAUUUUAGAUUUUUG
This is a long non-coding RNA of Neopelma chrysocephalum (saffron-crested tyrant-manakin), 588 nucleotides long. RefSeq lists it as uncharacterized. The record is from RefSeq and is a predicted model, not a curated record. The transcript has 5 exons. Lineage: Eukaryota; Metazoa; Chordata; Aves; Passeriformes; Pipridae.